RNAcentral lists this ribosomal RNA (893 nucleotides) under uncultured bacterium. RNAcentral describes it as "bacterial SSU rRNA". It matches the Rfam family "Bacterial small subunit ribosomal RNA", at positions 11 to 915 of the family's 1533-position model. The record is from RNAcentral.
GUUUGAUCCUGGCUCAGGAUGAACGCUGGCGGCGUGCCUAAUACAUGCAAGUCGAACGAGGUGCUUGAGUAGCAAUACGAGAGUAUCCUAGUGGCGAACGGGUGAGUAACGCGUUGGUGACCUACCCCAAAGUGUGGGAUAACAGUUCGAAAGGACUGCUAAUACCGCAUGUGGUUAUCGGAUUUAGAAACUGAUAACUAAAGGAGCAAUUCGCUUUGGGAGGGACCUGCGUCCCAUCAGCUAGUUGGUGAGGUAAUGGCUCACCAAGGCUACGACGGGUAGGGGACCUGAGAGGGUGACCCCCCACAAUGGAACUGAAACACGGUCCAUACACCUACGGGUGGCAGCAGUAGGGAAUAUUGCACAAUGGGCGAAAGCCUGAUGCAGCAACGCCGCGUGUGCGAUGAAGGCCUUCGGGUCGUAAAGCACUUUUCUGAGGGAUGAGCAAGGACAGUACCUCAGGAAUAAGUCUCGGCUAACUACGUGCCAGCAGCCGCGGUAAAACGUAGGAGGCAAGCGUUAUCCGGAUUCACUGGGCGUAAAGCGCGUGCAGGCGGUUCGGUAAGUUGGGCGUGAAAUCUCCUGGCUUAACUAGGAGAGGUCGUUCAAUACUACCGGACUUGAGAGUGAUAGAGGAAGAUGGAAUUCCCGGUGUAGUGGUGAAAUGCGUAGAUAUCGGGAGGAACACCAGUGGCGAAAGCGAUCUUCUGGAUCAUUUCUGACGCUCAGACGCGAAAGCUAGGGUAGUAAACGGGAUUAGAGACCCCGGUAAUCCUAGCCGUAAACGAUGUAAACUUGGCGUCGGUGGCUUAAACUCCAUCGGUGCCGCAGCUAACGCGAUAAGUUACCGCCUGGGACUACGAUCGCAAGAUUAAAACUCAAAGGAAUUGACG